GUGCUCACUUCGGCAGCACAUAUACUAAAAUUGGAACCAUACAGAGAAGAUUAGCAUGGCCUCUGCACAAGGAUGACGCGCAAAAAGAGAAAGAAAAAAAAGAAAAGA
Molecule: small nuclear RNA, 108 nt
Organism: Prolemur simus (greater bamboo lemur)
Lineage: Eukaryota; Metazoa; Chordata; Mammalia; Primates; Lemuridae
Source: Ensembl